Molecule: long non-coding RNA, 6487 nt
Filed under: Citrus x clementina
Lineage: Eukaryota; Viridiplantae; Streptophyta; Magnoliopsida; Sapindales; Rutaceae
Description: Citrus clementina (C. clementina) long non-coding RNA (CCLE_LNC006049)
Source: RNAcentral
GGGGGCUGAUUUUUGGGCGCGGCUGUGCCCGUGGCCUAUUUUUGGAUCACCGAGGCCGCCCGCCAAGUAUGGUGCCAUUCCGAGUCCCGCGGACGAACUUCGCCCACGCCCCCCACCAAGGCUAUAGCCCACGCGAUUUUUGGCCAUUUUUCCGCUGGGGGGUCUUGGGACCCCGACCUUCGGGGGCUGAUUUUUGGGCGAGGCUGUGCCCUUGGCCUAUUUUUGGCACACGGAGGCCGCCCGCCAAGUCUGGGGCCAUUCCGAGUCCCGCGGACGAACUUCGCCCACGCCCCCCACCAAGGCUAUAGCCCACCCGUUUUUGGCCAUUUUUCCGCUGGGGGGUCUUGGGACCCCGACCUUCGGGGGCUGAUUUUUGGGCGCGGCUGUGCCCGUGGCCUAUUUUUGGCACACAGAGGCCGCCUGCCAAGUAUGGUGCCAUUCCGAGUCCCGCGGACGAACUUCGCCCACGCCCCCCACCAAGGCUAUAUACCCCACGCGUUUUUUGGCCAUUUUUCCGCUGGGGGGUCUUGGGACCCCGACCUUCGGGGGCGGAUUUUUGGGCCCGGCUGUGCCCGUGGCCUAUUUUUGGCACACAGAGGCCGCCCGCCAAGUAUGGUGCCAUUCCGAGUCCCGCGGACGAACUUCGCCCACGCCCCCGACCAAGGCUAUAGUCCACCCGUUUUUUGGCCAUUUUUCCGCUGGGGGGUCUUGGGACCCCGACCUUCGGGGGCUGAUUUUUGGGCGCGGCUGUGCCCGUGGCCUAUUUUUGGCACACGGAGGCCGCCCGCCAAGUAUGGUGCCAUUCCGAGUCCCGCGGACGAACUUCGCCCACGCCCCCCACCAAGGCUAUAGCCCACGCGUUUUUUGGCCAUUUUUCCGCUGGGGGGUCUUGGGACCCCGACCUUCGGGGGCUGAUUUUUGGGCGCGGCUGUGCCCGUGGCCUAUUUUUGGCACACGGAGGCCGCCCGCCAAGUAUGGUGCCAUUCCGAGUCCCGCGGACGAACUUCGCCCACGCCCCCCACCAAGGCUAUAGCCCACGCGUUUUUUGGCCAUUUUUCCGCUGGGGGGUCUUGGGACCCCGACCUUCGGGGGCUGAUUUUUGGGCGCGGCUGUGCCCGUGGCCUAUUUUUGGCACACGGAGGCCGCCCGCCAAGUCUGGGGCCAUUCCGGGUCCCGCGGACGAACUUCGCCCACGCCCCCCACCAAGGCUAUAUCCCACGCGUUUUUUGGCCAUUUUUCCGCUGGGGGGUCUUGGGACCCCGACCUUCGGGGGCUGAUUUUUGGGCGCGGCUGUGCCCGUGGCCUAUUUUUGGCACACGGAGGCCGCCCGCCAAGUAUGGUGCCAUUCCGAGUCCCGCGGACGAACUUCGCCCACGCCCCCCACCAAGGCUAUAGCCCACCCGUUUUUUGGCCAUUUUUCCGCUGGGGGGUCUUGGGACCCCGACCUUCGGGGGCUGAUUUUUGGGCGCGGCUGUGCCCGUGGCCUAUUUUUGGCACACGGAGGCCGCCCGCCAAGUAUGGUGCCAUUCCGAGUCCCGCGGACGAACUUCGCCCACGCCCCCCACCAAGGCUAUAGCCCACCCGUUUUUUGGCCAUUUUUCCGCUGGGGGGUCUUGGGACCCCGACCUUCGGGGGCUGAUUUUUGGGCGCGGCUGUGCCCGUGGCCUAUUUUUGGCACACAGAGGCCGCCCGCCAAGUAUGGUGCCAUUCCGAGUCCCGCGGACGAACUUCGCCCACGCCCCCCACCAAGGCUAUAGCCCACGCGUUUUUUGGCCUUUUUUCCGCUGGGGGGUCUUGGGACCCCGACCUUCGGGGGCUGAUUUUUGGGCGCGGCUGUGCCCGUGGCCUAUUUUUGGCACACCGAGGCCGCCCGCCAAGUAUGGUGCCAUUCCGAGUCCCGCGGACGAACUUCGCCCACGUCCCCCACCAAAGCUAUAGCCCACGCGUUUUUUGGCCAUUUUUCCGCUGGGGGGUAUUGGGACCCCGACCUUCGGGGGCUGAUUUUUGGGCGCGGCUGUGCCCGUGGCCUAUUUUUGGCACACAGAGGCCGCCCGCCAAGUAUGGUGCCAUUCCGAGUCCCGCGGACGAACUUCGCCCACGCCCCCCACCAAGGCUAUAGCGCACCCGUUUUUUGGCCAUUUUUCCGCCGGGGGGUCUUGGGACCCCGACCUUCGGGGGCUGAUUUUUGGGCGCGGCUGUGCCCGUGGCCUAUUUUUAGCACACGGAGGCCGCCCGCCAAGUAUGGUGCCAUUCCGAGUCCCGCGGACGAACUUCGCCCACGCCCCCCACCAAGGCUAUAGCCCACGCGUUUUUUGACCAUUUUUCCGCUGGGGGGUCUUGGGACCCCGACCUUCGGGGGCUGAUUUUUGGGCGCGGCUGUGCCCGUGGCCUAUUUUUGGCACACCGAGGCCGCCCGCCAAGUAUGGUGCCAUUCCGAGUCCCGCGGACGAACUUCGCCCACGCCCCCCACCAAGGCUAUAGCCCACGCGUUUUUUGACCAUUUUUCCGCUGGGGGGUCUUGGGACCCCGACGUUCGGGGGCUGAUUUUUGGGCGCGGCUGUGCCCGUGGCCUAUUUUUGGCACACGGAGGCCGCCCGCCAAGUAUGGUGCCAUUCCGAGUCCCACGGACGAACUUCGCCCACGCCCCCCACCAAGGCUAUAGCCCACGCGUUUUUUGGCCAUUUUUCCGCUGGGGGGUCUUGGGACCCCGACCUUCGGGGGCUGAUUUUUGGGCGCGGCUGUUCCCGUGGCCUAUUUUUGGCACACAGAGGCCGCCCGCCAAGUAUGGUGCCAUUCCGAGUCCCGCGGACGAACUUCGCCUACGCCCCCCACCAAGGCUAUAGCCCACCCUUUUUUUGGCCAUUUUUCCGCUGGGGGGUCUUGGGACCCCGACCUUCGGGGGCUGAUUUUUGGGCGCGGCUGUGCCCGUGGCCUAUUUUUGGCACACGGAGGCCGCCCGCCAAGUCUGGGGCCAUUCCGAGUCCCGCGGACGAACUUCGCCCACGCCCCCCACCAAGGCUAUAGCCCACCCUUUUUUUGGCCAUUUUUCCGCUGGGGGGUCUUGGGACCCCGACCUUCGGGGGCUGAUUUUUGGGCGCGGCUGUGCACGUGGCCUAUUUUUGGCACACAGAGGCCGCCCGCCAAGUAUGGUGCCAUUCCGAGUCCCGCGGACGAACUUCGCCCACGCCCCCCACCAAGGCUAUAGCCCACGCGUUUUUUGGCCAUUUUUCCGCUGGGGGGACUUGGGACCCCGACCUUCGGGGGCUGAUUUUUGGGCGCGGCUGUGCCCGUGGCCUAUUUUUGGCACACAGAGGCCGCCCGCCAAGUCUGGUGCCAUUCAGAGUCCCGCGGACGAACUUCGCCCACGCCCCCCACCAAGGCUAUAGCCCACGCGUUUUUUGGCCAUUUUUCCGCUGGGGGGUCUUGGGACCCCGACCUUCGGGGGCUGAUUUUUGGGCGCGGCUGUGCCCGUGGCCUAUUUUUGGCACACGGAGGCCGCCCGCCAAGUAUGGUGCCAUUCCGAGUCCCGCGGACGAACUUCGCCCACGCCCCCCACCAAGGCUAUAGCCCACCCGUUUUUUGGCCAUUUUUCCGCUGGGGGGUCUUGGGACCCCGACCUUCGGGGGCUGAUUUUUGGGCGCGGCUGUGCCCGUGGCCUAUUUUUGGCACACAGAGGCCGCCCGCCUAGUAUGGUGCCAUUCCGAGUCCCGCGGACGAACUUCGCCCACGCCCCCCACCAAGGCUAUAGCCCACCCGUUUUUUGGCCAUUUUUCCGCUGGGGGGUCUUGGGACCCCGACCUUCGGGGGCUGAUUUUUGGGCGCGGCUGUGCCCGUGGCCUAUUUUUGGCACACAGAGGCCGCCCGCCAAGUAUGGUGCCAUUCCGAGUCCCGCGGACGAACUUCGCCCACGCCCCCCACCAAGGCUAUAGCCCACCCGUUUCUUGGCCAUUUUUCCGCUGGGGGGUCUUGGGACCCCGACCUUCGGGGGCUGAUUUUUGGGCGCGGCUGUGCCCGUGGCCUAUUUUUGGCACACCGAGGCCGCCCGCCAAGUAUGGUGCCAUUCCGAGUCCCGCGGACGAACUUCGCCCACGCCCCCCACCAAGGCUAUAGCCCACGCGUUUUUUGGCCAUUUUUCCGCUGGGGGGUCUUGGGACCCCGACCUUCGGGGGCUGAUUUUUGGGCGCGGCUGUGCCCGUGGCCUAUUUUUGGCACACAGAGGCCGCCCGCCAAGUAUGGUGCCAUUCCGAGUCCCGCGGACGAACUUCGCCCACGCCCCCCACCAAGGCUAUAGCGCACCCGUUUUUUGGCCAUUUUUCCGCCGGGGGGUCUUGGGACCCCGACCUUCGGGGGCUGAUUUUUGGGCGCGGCUGUGCCCGUGGCCUAUUUUUAGCACACGGAGGCCGCCCGCCAAGUAUGGUGCCAUUCCGAGUCCCGCGGACGAACUUCGCCCACGCCCCCCACCAAGGCUAUAGCCCACGCGUUUUUUGACCAUUUUUCCGCUGGGGGGUCUUGGGACCCCGACCUUCGGGGGCUGAUUUUUGGGCGCGGCUGUGCCCGUGGCCUAUUUUUGGCACACCGAGGCCGCCCGCCAAGUAUGGUGCCAUUCCGAGUCCCGCGGACGAACUUCGCCCACGCCCCCCACCAAGGCUAUAGCCCACGCGUUUUUUGACCAUUUUUCCGCUGGGGGGUCUUGGGACCCCGACGUUCGGGGGCUGAUUUUUGGGCGCGGCUGUGCCCGUGGCCUAUUUUUGGCACACGGAGGCCGCCCGCCAAGUAUGGUGCCAUUCCGAGUCCCACGGACGAACUUCGCCCACGCCCCCCACCAAGGCUAUAGCCCACGCGUUUUUUGGCCAUUUUUCCGCUGGGGGGUCUUGGGACCCCGACCUUCGGGGGCUGAUUUUUGGGCGCGGCUGUGCCCGUGGCCUAUUUUUGGCACACGGAGGCCGCCCGCCAAGUAUGGUGCCAUUCUGAGUCCCGCGGACGAACUUCGCCCACGCCCCCCACCAAGGCUAUAGCCCACCCGUUUUUUGGCCAUUUUUCCGCUGGGGGGUCUUUGGACCCCGACCUUCGGGGGCUGAUUUUUGGGCGCGGCUGUGCCCGUGGCCUAUUUUUGGCACACAGAGGCCGCCCGCCUAGUAUGGUGCCAUUCCGAGUCCCGCGGACGAACUUCGCCCACGCCCCCCACCAAGGCUAUAGCCCACGCGUUUUUUGGCCUUUUUUCCGCUGGGGGGUCUUGGGACCCCGACCUUCGGGGGCUGAUUUUUGGGCGCGGCUGUGCCCGUGGCCUAUUUUUGGCACACAGAGGCCGCCCGCCAAGUAUGGUGCCAUUCCGAGUCCCGCGGACGAACUUCGCCCACGCCCCCCACCAAGGCUAUAGCCCACGCGUUUUUUGGCCAUUUUUCCGCUGGGGGGUUUUGGGACCCCGACCUUCGGGGGCUGAUUUUUGGGCGUGGCUGUGCCCGUGGCCUAUUUUUGGCACACGGAGGCCGCCCGCCAAGUAUGGUGCCAUUCCGAGUCCCGCGGACGAACUUCGCCCACGCCCCCCACCAAGGCUAUAGCCCACCCGUUUUUUGGCCAUUUUUCCGCUGGGGGGUCUUGGGACCCCGACCUUCGGGGGCUGAUUUUUGGGCGCGGCUGUGCCCGUGGCCUAUUUUUGGCACACAGAGGCCGCCCGCCAAGUAUGGUGCCAUUCCGAGUCCCGCGGACGAACUUCGCCCACGCCCCCCACCAAGGCUAUAGCCCACGCGUUUUUUGGCCUUUUUUCCGCUGGGGGGUCUUGGGACCCCGAUCUUCGGGGGCUGAUUUUUGGGCGCGGCUGUGCCCGUGGCCUAUUUUUCGCAAACAGAGGCCGCCCGCCAAGUAUGGUGCCAUUCCGAGUCCCGCGGACGAACUUCGCCCACGCCCCCCACCAAGGCUAUAGCCCACGCGUUUUUUGGCCAUUUUUCCGCUGGGGGGUCUUGGGACCCCGACCUUCGGGGGCUGAUUUUUGGGCGCGGCUGUGCCCGUGGCCUAUUUUUGGAACACCGAGGCCGCCCGCCAAGUGUGGUGCCAUUCCGAGUCCCGCGGACGAACUUCGCCCACGCCCCCCACCAAGGCUAUAGCCCAUGCGUUUUUUGGCCUUUUUUCCGCUGGGGGGUCUUGGGACCCCGACCUUCGGGGGCUGAUUUUUGGGCGCGGCUGUGCCCGUGGCCUAUUUUUGGCACACAGAGGCCGCCCGCCAAGUAUGGUGCCAUUCCGAGUCCCGCGGACGAACUUCGCCCACGCCCCCCACCAAGGCUAUAGCCCACGCGUUUUUUGGCCAUUUUUCCGCUGGGGGGUCUUGGGACCCCGACCUUCGGGGGCUGAUUUUUGGGCGCGGCUGUGUCCGUGGCCUAUUUUUGGCACACAGAGGCCGCCCGCCAAGUAUGGUGCCAUUCCGAGUCCCGCGGACGAACUUCGCCCACGCCCCCCACCAAGGCUAUAGCCCACCCGUUUUUUGGCCAUUUUU